UACAGAGGGCUCAAGCGUUGUUCGGAUUCAUUGGGCGUAAAGGGUGCGUAGGCGGCUCGGUAAGUCGGGUGUGAAAGCCCCGGGCUCAACCUGGGAAUUGCAUUCGAGACUGAAUAGCUAGGGUACGGUAGAGGGAAGCGGAAUUUCCGGUGUAGCGGUGAAAUGCGUAGAUAUCGGAAGGAACAUCAGUGGCGAAAGCGGCUUCCUGGACCAGUACCGACGUUCAGGCACGAAAGCGUGGGGAGCAAACAGG
This 253-nucleotide ribosomal RNA is filed under the name uncultured bacterium. RNAcentral's name for it is "partial 16S ribosomal RNA". It matches the Rfam family "Bacterial small subunit ribosomal RNA", at positions 524 to 776 of the family's 1533-position model. The record is from RNAcentral.